GGGUCGCCGCGAGGGGCAGCGGCGGCCCCGCCCUGCCCGCCGGGGGUCUGCGCUCGGGCUGCGGGGGCCUGAGGGACGGGCGGGGCCGGGCCGGGCUGGGCGGGCUCAGGGGCGGCCCCGCAGACGGUAAAACACUGCUGGGAGCCCGGGGCAGGUAUCUGUGUUGACAUAGCUUAGAGGAACGGAAGAGCUGGGAUGAGCUUUCCAGUGUGGUGCUCAGGCUCUGAAAGUCACAAGUCCACAAGCUCUGUCUCCAGUGACGUUGCCCAGAUGGUGCAGCUCAGAACAUCGAUGUUCCUGCGGGUGCUGGCAAACCGGCUGAGCUCAGAUUCACCUUUAGCCCAGUGUAUCCUUUGGCUUCUCAAAUAACCUGACACAUGCAGAAAAUACUUUUGUCCCAUGUCUGAAAAGAACAGCGUGCUUGUGAACCAUGUGAGGAUCCAUUGGCGCUUCUGGUCCAUUAGUUACCAAAAGACCGUAAGAUCACUUGGAGAAGAUUCACCCUGGAUAUGGAAUGGAAGACAGCCAGGGAGGCUGCAAUUUCCUAUUAGUACUGUUUGGUGGUGCCUUUGGGAAAGACAGUAUCACCACAUAUCUCUUCUCUUGCACUUCUCCCAUUCCCAGCCAUGCUGUGACUGCAUCAUGCCUUGCCUUUGUAUGCCAGAAGUCAAAAAAGAACAAGGAGUAAUGGGAAAUCUGAUAUGGAAGUCAGUUGCUAAAGAAUAGGGAUAUAAUUAAUGCCAGUCGACAUAGUUUUAUGGAAACUCGGUCUUGUCAAACAAACUUGAUCUCAAUAAUGUAAUCUCAAAGAAUGGAUUGUUAAAGCCAAUUGUAUAGAUGUGAGGUACUUAUACUUUCAUAAAGCAUUUGGCUUAGUACUGUGUGAUAGUCUGGCUAAAAUUUUAGUAUUACAUGAUAUCAGUAAAGUGCCUGUUAAAUGGAUUAGGAACUGGUUAGUAAAGAGAGCUCAAAGGCAUCAUUUGUGGGAAGUAUCACUGAAUGAGAGUGUCCAGGGGAUUUGGCAAGAACUGAUAUCAAGUUCAGUGCUAUUCAACAGGUUUGUCUAUGAUUUGGAAGUAACUAUCAAUCGUAGCUGAGUGUUAAGUUUUGCAAUGUCACAAGAUAGGGUGAUAAAUAAUGAGAAAAACUAUAAUAUAAAGUGAUUAGCAUCACAAGGAAAGUUAAUUCUGCCAAAACGUGUAUUAGCAGUCAUGUUCAAAGUAAUACACUUGGGAGCAAGUAUCUUUCAGUCCUCCAUUCUGUAGCUUUGUAUUAAAAAAAAAAUUAUUGCUUUCCUUUGAGUUGACCACAGGAUCAGGAAGUGGGAGUGCUCUGUGACCUCCGCAUAUGGCACUGACAGACUGCUAGUAGAAUGCAGCAUACACCUCAGUUUGUAGUUUUUAAAGGAAAGUAGAGAAACUUAAGAGAUCAAAGCAGAGGAACCAAGAUGAUUGGAAUGCGAAAAUAGAUCUCAGCUACUUUCAAAAACAUUGAGAAUGGUAGUGCAGAAAUACCUUAAUGGAGAAAAAGUGCCAGGGUGCACUUUUAUCCCCCAUGAUCAGAGGACCCUUUCAGGACAACAGGAACCAACAUCUGGAACCUAGAACAGUUUCUAUUAAAAUUGCUAGAGAAAUUUAUAUUAAAAUAAGGUACAUUUCUUUUAAUAGAAGAAUGAACAAAUAUUGGAAAGACUUAAAAGGAUGCUUUUUGUUUUUCAUAUCCUUAGCAUCUCUCCAGUGCCUUAACAAAAGAGUCAUUUUAACUCGUUCAGCUCAAAGUGUCAUUUUGUAGUCUGAAAUAUACAGGAGGGCAUCCACAUGGACUUCACUCCCUUAAGUAUGAAUCCAUGAAGUGAACACAGUGCUAAAGUUUCCUGUUGGCUAAGCAUCGUCUUUGUCUUUGCAUCAUAUGAAGUCAUAGGAGCCCUGCAGUGUUUCACUGUGCCCAUAUCCAAAAAGAAUAAACCACGUGAUCAGGUAAU
Long non-coding RNA from Onychostruthus taczanowskii (white-rumped snowfinch), 1981 nucleotides. RefSeq lists it as uncharacterized. The record is from RefSeq and is a predicted model, not a curated record. Lineage: Eukaryota; Metazoa; Chordata; Aves; Passeriformes; Passeridae. The transcript is spliced from 4 exons.